Molecule: unclassified non-coding RNA, 314 nt
Filed under: plant metagenome
Description: partial contains 5.8S ribosomal RNA, internal transcribed spacer 2, and large subunit ribosomal RNA
Rfam family: 5.8S ribosomal RNA (bases 1-105)
Source: RNAcentral
GAAAUGCGAUAAUUAAUGUGAAUUGCAGAAUUCAGUGAAUCAUCGAGUCUUUGAACGCACAUUGCGCCCCCUGGUAUUCCGGGGGGCAUGCCUGUCCGAGCGUCAUUGCUGCCCUCAAGCACGGCUUGUGUGUUGGGCUUCCGUCCCUGGCAACGGGGACGGGCCCAAAAGGCAGUGGCGGCACCAUGUCUGGUCCUCGAGCGUAUGGGGCUUUGUCACCCGCUCCCGUAGGUCCAGCUGGCAGCUAGCCGCGCAACCAAUCUUUUUAACCAGGUUGACCUCGGAUCAGGUAGGGAUACCCGCUGAACUUAAGC